UUUACUUAAUCUAAUCCAUCAUUGAUGGGCAUCUAGGUUGAUUCCAUAUCUUUCUUGUUGUGAAUAGUGCUGUGCUGCAGUGAACAAUAUAUGAGUGCAUGUGUCUUUUUGGCAGAAUGAUUUAUUUUCUGUAGGAUAUAUACCCAAUAAUAUGAUUGCUGGGUUGAGUGAUAGUUUUAUUUAUAGUUCUUUGAGAAAUUUCCAAAGUGGCUGAACUAAUUUGCAUACCCACCAACAGUGUAUAAGCAUUCCCUUUACUUUGCAUCCUCACCAACAGCUUUUAUUUUUGACUUUUUAAUAAUAGCUAUUCAGACUGGUGCGAGAUGGUAUUCCACUGUGGUUUUGAUUUGGAUUUCCCUAAUGAUUAGUGAUGCUGAGCAUUUUUUCAUAUGUUUGUUGGCUAAAAAGCUGAUAUUUCAUUUCAUUUUUUUAAAGGUUUAUUUUAGGUUCGGGGGUACAUGUGAAGGUUUGUUACAUAGGUGAACUUGUGUCACAGGGUUUUGUUGUACAGCUGAUUUCAUCACCCAUGCAAAAAGCCCAGUACUCAAUAAUUAUUAUUUGUGCUUCUCUUCUUCCUCCCACCCUCCACCCUCAAGUAGACCCCAGUGUCUUUCAUUCCCCAAAAGCUAACAUUUUAAACCAGCCCAAAAUAUAAUAAUUUUAAUCUGAAGUGGCAUGUGAUUUCUGUUAAUGAUAAAAAAGAUAACAUUUGAAAAGGAGUCCUUUAGAUAACCCAUGUAUUAAGGACUAAAUGUUUGUACCUUCUCCCACCCCCAGAAUCAUAUGUGAAACCCUAACAACCAAUGUGAAUGUAUUUGGAGAUAGGGUCAUAAGCAGAUGGUAGAGUUUAAAUGAGGUCAUAAGGGUGGGGCCCUAAUCUGAUAGAGCUGUUGCACUUUUCAGAAGAGGAAGAGAUACGUCUCUGUCUGUGUGCAUUCAGAAAGAAGGCCAUGUGAUACAGUUUGGAUGUUGCCUCCAACCAAAUGUCAUGUCAAAAUGUAAUCUUCAAUAUUGGAGGUGAGGCAUGGUGGGGGGAGAUUGGGUCAUGGAGGCAGGUUUCUCAUGAAUGGUUUAGCACCAUCCCCCUUGGUACUGUCUUCACAAUAGUGAGUUCUCAUGAUAUUUGGUCAUUUAAAAGUGUGUAGCACUUCCCCCUUCAUGUUCUCUUGCUCCUGCUCUGGCCAUGUGACAUGCCUAUUCCCUCUUCACCUUCUGGCAUGACUGUAAGUUUCCUGUGGCCUCCCUGGAAGCUGAGCAGAUUCCAUCAUCAUGCUUCCUGUACAGUCUGCAGAACCAUGAGCCAAUUAAGCCUCUUUUCUUUAUAAAUUACCCAGUCUGAGGUACUUCUUUAUAGCACUGCAAGAAUGGACUAAUACACUAUGUGAAGACAAAGGGGAUGUCUGCAAGCCAGGACGAGUGCGUCUACCAGAAACUGAGUUCUGCUGGACUUUGAUCUAGGACAUCCAGCCUCCAGAAUGGAAUGUGCCAUAUGUGGAGACCUGCAUGAAAAGGAACUGAGGAUGCUCUCUCACUAAAAGCUAGAAGGACCUGAGGCCCUCAGUCAACAGUCUACAAGACACUGAAUCUUGCCAGCAGCCAUGCAGUGAGCUUGAAAGCAGAUCUAUCAUCAGCUGAACCUUCAGAUGAGACCGCAGCCUAAGCAGAUACCUUGGUUGCAGCCAUGUGAGACAACCUGAAACAGAGGGCACAGCUAAGCCUCAGCCAGGUUCAUGACCCUCUGAGGAAACUGUGAGAAAGCAAAUGUCAUUUUAAGCUUUUAAUUUUGGAGGUAGUUUGUUACACAACAAUAAAUAACUAUUAUAAUUAUCUUGAGGAUUUCCUGGGGAGAAUACAUGGAAUUGCAUAUAUAGGUCCUCAUAUGCAGAAUACUGGUACCCCAGAGAUGUUCACCCCAGAGAUGUUUUAGGAACCUGUGAAUAUGUUACAUUAAAUGGCAAAGUUUUCCUGGAUGGUUUAAGUUUAAGAUGGAAAAGUUUUACUGGAUUAUCCAGUGGGUCCAAUCUAGUAACAUGAGUCCUUAAAAAUGGAGAAUAUUUUUUGGCCAUGAUCAGAGAGACAUGUGAUGAUGGAAAAAGUGUCAGAGAUGCAAUGUGAGGGGACUAAAACUGCUGUUGAUGACUUUAAAGAUGGAGAGAGGGGAACCCGAGUCAAGGAAUGCAAAUGGCCUCUGGAAGCUGGAAAAAGCAAGAAAUGGAUUCUCCUUUAGAGCCUGUGGAAUAAAAUGCAGUCAUGCUGACACCUUGAUUUUACCUCAGUGAGACCAGUACGGGAGUAUGACCUUCGGAGCUGAAUAAAAUUAUAUGUACACAUCUUAAUUUCUUGGGAUUUGAUUACUUCUUCUGCUUUGAAAUUAGACCAAGUUUAGCCUGCCUUUGCUAUUUUGGCAUAUCUCCAAUUCUUCAUGAUUUUCUCAUUAGAUUCUUAGGGAUUCUGAAAAACACCUUACAGACCAUGUGAGAGGUAACGAGGAGGCUCUCCUGGACUGAACUGUGUCCCCUCCAAAUUCAUAUGUUGAGACCCAAACUUCCAAUGUGACUGUAUUUGGAGCUAGGGCCUUUAAGGAGUAAUUGACGUUAAAUGAGGUCACAGGGUUGGGACUCUAAUUUAAUAGGACUGGUGUCCUUAUGAGAAGAGAAAGAGGCACCAGGCACCAGGCAUGUGAGCCCACAGAGGAAAGGCUAUGAUGUGAAGACAGAGAGAAGGCCAUCACACACAAGCCAUGGAGAGAGGCCUCCCCAGAAACCAACCCCGCCGACACCUUGAUCUCGGACUUUCAAGCUUCAGAACUGUGAGAAAAUAAAUUUCUAUUGUUUAAGCCACUCAGUCAGUGGAAUUCUGUUAUAGCAGCCCUAACAGACUAAUAUGGAGGUCAAGUAGACAAGUCUGGUCUCUGUAUUUCUAUUGGAACUGGAUUUACUCUGCUCCUAUGAGUUAUCUCUAUGGGAGUUUGAUAUAAAUUGUUAAAAAAUUGAAGCGGAUAAACAUGAAAUUGUAGAGCAAUUUAACCGUGUGUUGUAAUGGAAACAUUUCUUCCUGAUGCUGGUCCCAUGUUGUGUUUAUAAGUGGAAAGUUUCUUCCUCUCCAAGUCCACAGGACUCCUUUCCUUUCUAAGUACUCUACGUGGCUGGCCACAUCAUUAAAAUAUGAGUUACUCUGAUGGUAGAGAGAAGAUAUCACUUAUCUUUGUGACUUCUCCUUCCCCUGUCUCUUCCACCCCUUUCUGCCAAUGGCAUACUUAGUCAUGUGUACUUAGUAAUGUUAAAUAUGUAAGUAAAUUUGACCUAUUGAAGAAUGGCCUCUAUAGCCUCCUAGACAACAUAUAAACCUAUAUUGUAAAUCUUCUAGUAACAGAAAGCAGAAUAGAAUACAAGUUUUUUACGAAUCUUUACAGAUUUCUUCUAAGAGUUUGGUUUUUCAUAAGUAGUUCUUACCAUUUUUGUCUCUACAAAAAUUUCUGUGCCCUCUUAUUGCCUAGAAUAUUUUCUAUUCAGAGAUUUUACAAGGAAUAUUCACCUGAUAUUGGCACAAGCACAAAGUUAGAAUUAGGGAGCUAUUACUGGAUGUGAUUCCUAUGCAUUUCCCACAAUUUUUAUAACAACUGUGUAUUUCAGUUUAUACAUAUCAAUUAAUCCUCACACUACCCCGUAAGGUUGGUAAUGGUAUUCUCAUUUUUCAUUUGAGGGAACUGGGACACAAGGAUGUAAAAGUAACCAAAACUAUACUGAUGAUAAGAAGGGUAUUUAAGGUUUGAAUUAUACAUUUUAUUCUACAUUGUGUUUCUUGCUUUUUAUGUGCUUAACUAUGUAAAAAAUAAAAGCCGUAGAGAAAUAUAUUUAUAGGAUGAAUAGUCAGAUAUGAAUCCGUAUGGUCAAUUAUAAUCAGGUCCAGAUGGUUAGUGCUCUGAGCUACUAGAGACCCCAUUUGAUGCCCCAGUUACCUACCAUCAUACAAUUAGGAUCAGUCGACACUUAAUAAAAAAGAUGGCAUAAUUUGGUGGAAAGAACAUGGGCUUUGAAAUCUGUCCUGAAAUAAGUUUUCAGUCCUGCCACUUACUACCUGUGAGAUGCUGAACAAUGAAGAAUUAACUCCUCUGAAUCUCUGUCUCUAUUUGUGUAAAAUGUGAAGAAUUAAUAAUGAGUUUCUUAUGAGAGGUACAGGAGACAGCAAAUGAGAAUGCAUCUAUGAUUGCCCUUGACACAGAGUAGGCACACAGUGGGCAUUCAGUAAGUGCUAGUUGAAUGUGAAUCUUAGUGUUAUAUAUUAAUAUAAAUUAGUGUAAAAUGAAAUCUCUCCUUGUUGUGGUCUGAAUGUGCCCCCUAAAAUUCCUGUAUUGGAAACUUAAUCCCCAAUGAAACAGUGUUGGGAAGUGUUUGGGGAGGUGUUUAGGUCGAGCCCUCAAGAGUGGAUUAACGCUGCUAUAAAAAGGGCUUGUGGGAGUGGGCACACCCUCUCUUGCCCUUCAGCUUUCCAAUAUAUGAGGAAACAGCAACAAGGCCCUGCCCUGAUGCUGGCACCUUCAUCCUGGGCUUCCCAAACUCUAGAACUAUAGGGAAAUAAAAAUCUGCUCUUUAUCAGUUACCCAGAUUUGAGUACUCUGUCAUAGCAGCCCAAAAUGUACUAACAGACUCACUCAUAGGGGUUUACAAGCUAACUGUUGAGAUACUAAGGAAUGAGGACAUAAAGGCAGCCAAGGACAAGUGCCAAAUGAGAGAAACCAUGACAAGUCACUGGGGGAGGAGAUUCUUGAGGGCUAGGACAGUUAGGACAACUGACUUCUUUUAGGAGGUCAGGCUCAAGCUGGGCCCUGAAGACAGACAAGCUCUUAUUUGUAUAGAUGGGGGAAGAGGGAGCAUGUGCGUUGCAGAAAGGGAGAAAUGCCUUGGAAGAGAAAUGUGUAUGGAAAAAAGCAUAGAUAAUUAUGGGUGGUGCAGAUCCUGUAAGGUGGCUUAUCCGUUGUACAAUUUACAAAAUCUUUUGCCUCAUUGGAGCCUCUCCUCAGAUCUAAGAGGAGCAGAGAACAAAUUUUACUGUCUCCUUUUAAAGAAUAAAGACGGAACUGAAACUCUGAGAGGUAAAGUGACUUGGCUAAGGUAGCGCCUCUAAUCUGUAACAGAGUGGGGCAUCAAACUCCAAUCUGCUGCUCCUGAGGACUCAGGGAGGUGGCAGGAGGAGGGAGGGAACAAGACUAAAGAAGUUAGAGAGAAAUUGGUGACUUUGAAUGGCAAUCUUAGGGGUUUUUUUUUCUCUUUGUAAGUGUAGAAAACCCCAAAAGCUUAUGACCAAAGUAAACGUACAAGGUAAUAUUUUUGAAGGUUAGUUUGGCCACAGGAUCUGGGGUGGAUGUCUGUUCCUGAGACAAGGCAGUGUUCUUCUAGAAUCUAUUUAUUCCAAGACCAUUGUCAAAAUGAGUUUUAGGCCAAAGAGGGCUCUGUCCUUCAUACCGUCUUAGAGAAAGCCUUCUUAAUCAGGGAAAUGGAGCUAUUAGCACACUGGCAGCCUUUUCUGUUCUGCAUUUUAAAUUGUUAAUUCAAUUUAUUUCUGGAUAAAAUAUCUGUAAAUCAAGCCAGUUUGCAAAACUGACAGCUCCAUGAAAAAAAUGUUAGGGGAAAGAAGAUCAGAUGCAUGACUAAGCUAUAUUUUAAUUUAAGCAAGUGUUCUGAUUAAAUCAUAAAGGGAAUAAAAAUGGCAUAAUGGGAACAUGGUAACUUACUAAAUUGGGGUCAGGUUUAUCUCUCCAUAUAGCACCAAUGCAGUGAAGCAGUGGGCUUGGUGGAAAGAUUCAGCUUUUGGAGUAGGUCAGAUCUGGGCUCAAAUCUUGAACAAAAGCUUGGCGAUUUUUCCUUCACUGUUAUAACUAGAGCAUCUAGGACAGUAUCAGAGUAGGUACUGUACAAAUCCUUGUUGAAAUUAAAUGAAAUGAGCACUUAGCCCUACCACUUUCCAACUGGAAAACAUAGGAAAAAUGAGUUCACCUUAGUAUACCUCAGUUUUCUCACAUGUAAAAUAGAGAUAAUGAUAUUACUUUUUAUAAUAGUUGUAAGGAUUAGCAAUAGUAAAAUAUGGGCUUGUGGGAUGGAUUGGUUUAGAUACCAGCUCCAUGAGACCUGAGGUCAUAACCUAGAGUUACCUCUUGAUAUAUUAAACAGCAUGCUUUGCUGAGCUGAGACCAUGCCCUGAAAUGCCCUAGCUAAGCCAGACAUUAUUUAAGUUUAUAUCCUCUGCAAGGAUUAGCAGGGUUAUUAUACUAAUAGAUGUUGAAUUGUCAAAAUUAAAAUUUUUAGGGUAGCAUAACUUUGAUUCAAAUUAUUUUAUUUGUUCAUUUAGAGAUACCUACAUGAUGGGCACACUUUAAAAAUUAUUAUUAUUCUAUGAUCUUUGAUCUUUCCCACUGAGAGAUACUAUAUUCUUUUGUCUUUUAAAUUCCUACAACAAAGCCUCUUUUAAAGUGUUCCCAUUUUGAAGGUGAGGAAACAGACUUGGAGAAAUCUAGUGACAAGUUCGCAGACACACAUAACAAAAAGCGGUGCUGACAUUUGAACAGGACUUUUGGUUUCAAAGCCAUUGUACCUUAUAGGUGUGUUCCAUAUACAUUUGUUAAUUGAAUUAAUGGGCAAAGGCCAAUCAUACUGGGCUUUAACUUCCCUUUAGUCACAAGAUGUUCUUUUAGCUCCCAGAGUGAAGAUAUUAAAAACAAGAAUCUGGCUUUGGUUCAGUUGCUAAAAGCAUGUGUAGUCUAGAACUGUUAGAUUUUUGUCAGACUAUUCAGAAAUAUAUAUCAGUCUUACAAGAGCAAGGACAUUUGUUCAAUGUAUUAUGUACCCUCCCUUACACCAAAAGAAAAAGUAAAAUAAAAUAAAAAGGCCAAGGUAAAGCGGCUAUGAAUUUAAUGUUCAUAAAGGCAGCAGCGCAGUUAUUGUGUACUAAUUAUGUAACAGGCCUUGUGCUAUGUGUUUUACAUACAUUAUUUCACAAUGGCCCUCUGAGGAAAUAGUGUUGUCCACAAGCUUUAAAAUAAGAAACUGCUCAGAACUCUCCCUUGGCUUCCUGUCUCACUCAGGGUAGUGCUCCAUUUCUCACAAUGGCUCAGAAGGCCCUCCACAACCAGUUCAAUGAUCAUAAAUUGAGUGUAGGAAACACAAUAUGGGAAGUGAGAUUAACAUGUGUUACCUCUGCCCUACUACAGAUAUGGAAAUGCUCAAGGCAAUGUUACAGGAAUAUUACCCAAUGUCAGGAAACCUAAGUUUGGGCUUUGGGGUCAAACCUUUCAUUUUCAUGGCAGUGUUUGAGAAAACCUAAAUGAAAAGGGGCUGAAUGUUGCCUUUACGUCACACAGAGUACAGAGUAGACAGAGGGCUGCAGUGUGACCAAAAAAGACAAAGGACUUUCUCAGGGAGUGAGUAAAAAGGGGCAGUCACUGUGUGGGGCAUAUGUGAGGAAGCAAAUAUCCUUGAGGAUACUUUUGAUUAAAAACAAAAGA
Molecule: long non-coding RNA, 7498 nt
Organism: Gorilla gorilla gorilla (western lowland gorilla)
Lineage: Eukaryota; Metazoa; Chordata; Mammalia; Primates; Hominidae
Exons: 4
Source: RefSeq, a predicted model, not a curated record